Molecule: unclassified non-coding RNA, 216 nt
Filed under: Hevea brasiliensis (rubber tree)
Lineage: Eukaryota; Viridiplantae; Streptophyta; Magnoliopsida; Malpighiales; Euphorbiaceae
Source: RNAcentral
GAUAAGGACUUGAAUGUCAUCACUCACCACUCAUGUAGCAAUUUGACUUUCCAAAACCGUCCAAGAGUUGGACAAAAAUAAUUCGUGGAAUUCAAUACCACCAGAUUCUCACUUGAGAUUAAAAAGAAAAGUCAGCUGGGCAACUUCAGAAGUAUUUUGUAAAGGAUGAUACACUGGCCUUUCCCAAAUGGAGUGAGGGUGAGGCCAGACACAAAA